Molecule: small nuclear RNA, 113 nt
Filed under: Peromyscus maniculatus bairdii (prairie deer mouse)
Lineage: Eukaryota; Metazoa; Chordata; Mammalia; Rodentia; Cricetidae
Source: RNAcentral
GUGCUCUUUUUGGCAGCAGCACAUAUAUAAAACUGGAAUGAUACAGAGACGAUUAGCAUGGCCCCUGCACAAGGAUGACAGACACACAAAUUUAUGAAGCGAUCUAUAUUAAA